RNAcentral lists this ribosomal RNA (406 nucleotides) under uncultured bacterium. Its description in RNAcentral is "bacterial SSU rRNA". It matches the Rfam family "Bacterial small subunit ribosomal RNA", at positions 355 to 776 of the family's 1533-position model. The record is from RNAcentral.
UGGGGAAUUUUCCGCAAUGGGCGAAAGCCUGACGGAGCAAUACCGCGUGAGGGAGGAAUGCCUUUGGGUUGUAAACCUCUUUUCUCAGGGAAGAAGAUCUGACGGUACCUGAGGAAUAAGUAUCGGCUAACUCCGUGCCAGCAGCCGCGGUAAUACGGAGGAUGCAAGCGUUAUCCGGAAUCAUUGGGCGUAAAGCGUCCGCAGGUGGUUUCCAAAGUCUGCUGUUAAAGACUGGAGCUCAACUCCGGAACGGCGGUGGAAACUUGGAAACUAGAGUUCGGUAGGGGUAGCAGGAAUUCCCAGUGUAGCGGUGAAAUGCGUAGAUAUUGGGAAGAACAUCGGUGGCGAAGGCGUGCUACUGGACCGUAACUGACACUCAGGGACGAAAGCUAGGGGAGCGAAAGGG